RNAcentral lists this ribosomal RNA (660 nucleotides) under uncultured bacterium. RNAcentral describes it as "bacterial SSU rRNA". It matches the Rfam family "Bacterial small subunit ribosomal RNA", at positions 94 to 788 of the family's 1533-position model. The record is from RNAcentral.
AGUGGCGGACGGGUGAGUAACGCGUGAGAAUCUGCCUUGGGGUCGGGGACAACCACUGGAAACGGUGGCUAAUACCGGAUAAGCCGAUUGGUGAAAGAUUUAUUGCCCGAAGAGGAGCUCGCGUCUGAUUAGCUAGUUGGUGAGGUAAGAGCUCACCAAGGCAGCGAUCAGUAGCUGGUCUGAGAGGACGAUCAGCCACACUGGGACUGAGACACGGCCCAGACUCCUACGGGAGGCAGCAGUGGGGAAUUUUCCGCAAUGGGCGAAAGCCUGACGGAGCAAGACCGCGUGAGGGAGGAAGGCUCUUGGGUUGUAAACCUCUUUUCUCAGGGAAGAAGCUCUGACGGUACCUGAGGAAUCAGCCUCGGCUAACUCCGUGCCAGCAGCCGCGGUAAUACGGAGGAGGCAAGCGUUAUCCGGAAUUAUUGGGCGUAAAGCGUCCGCAGGUGGCGAUUCAAGUCUGCUGUCAAAGCACGGGGCUUAACUCCGUAAAGGCAGUGGAAACUGAAUAGCUAGAGUGCCGUAGGGGUAGAGGGAAUUCCCGGUGUAGCGGUGAAAUGCGUAGAGAUCGGGAAGAACAUCGGUGGCAAAAGCGCUCUACUGGACGGCAACUGACACUCAGGGACGAAAGCUAGGGGAGCGAAUGGGAUUAGAUACCCC